AAUCACCCGCUGCUAGUGCGUGGAAGGCAGUUUAGUGGAGACUGCUCAGCUAAAGGCGGAGAGGCUCUUGAACUCGCGCAGGUCUGGGCUCUGCUAGUGGGCUAGGGACAGGCGCUUGGACUCUUGCUAUGCGAGAGAUGUUUCAUCACCACCACGAUCAAGCUAGAGAUAUCCCAUUUGGGCACUUUCACUUCCUUUCAAUGUGAUACCUAACCCCUGCCAACCAGGAUUUACCAGGAAAGCUUACAAUAGCUGCCUGUGGACAGGGGUGGAAGAAUGCAUAAUGGCCAUCUGCAAGGAUCCAGUCAAAAGUGGAAGGCCUAAAGCUCUCUGCAGAAUCCAUCAUGAGUCCUUGUCAAAAGGGCUAAGGGCCUGCAUUGGGAGGAACUGUAGAAGAAUGUCCAGAGGCAAUAAAGGCAAAAGGUCCUCCAAGGAAGCAAAGAGAAGACCUCCUUUUCCAUUCCCUGUUUAUUCUGUCGAGGCUACAAGCCUAGCUGGUGGUUGCCAUCCAUGCCAAGGGUCAGUUUACCUUCCUGUUUGUGGCUUACAUGUCUAUAUCCAUUGGUACACUCAAAACUGUGCCCCAUGAGGCAAUCUUAAUUCCAGUUGACUUUUCAAGUUUGUUUAUAUCUAGAUGCCCUCCGAUACCUCAUGUACUCAUAGUUGGGACUUUUGGGAGGAGAUUGGAUUAUGGAGGUGUGAUAGAUUAGUGUACUAAUGAGAUUAUGCCUAAAUGUGAUGCUGGGAGCAGAAACCUGGUUGAGGAAGUGGCCCACUGGGCCCAACAGUGUCCUGGAAGGAUACAGUAUCUCUCCCCCUCCCCACUUAAUGUCUGUCUGCUUCUAUGCAAUGAACUGUUUCUCUACUAUUGUGCUCGACUGCCAUGGAGCCAGCCAGAUAUCGACUGAAGCUUUUACAAACUGUGAGCUAAAAUAAACCUCUCCUCCUUUAAUUUGUGGGUGUAGGUAUUUUUGCUCCAGCAACAAGGGAAGUAAUUUAUUAUAAGGUUUAUAUAAAGUAUUUAUCCACAUUACAGACAGUACUCUCCAUAUUAUCAGAAGGGGAAAUCACAGCAGCUUCAAGUCUCAUCAAAUUAGCCAAUUCCAAUUUGAUUGUAUAAAGGAUUUACUAAGAAGACUUACAGUGCCUACCUGUGGAAUUAGAGUAAAAAAAUGCAAAACAUCUGCCUGCAUGCUGGACAGCCACAAGGCAACUCAAAGGUCAAAAUUCUGGAGCUCAUAGCAGAGUCCUGUGCAAGUCCACGUUGGAAAGUCAGAGUCUACAAUGGAAGACUGAAAACUGUCCUGCAAGUCUGAAAGAACUACAGAUGAAUGUCCAAAGACAGUUAUAACUAAAGAUCCUUCAAAGAAAUGAAGGGAAUACUUCCUUCUUUCCUUUCUUAUUCUGUCUAAGCUACAAGCCUGUUGGUUGAUGUCACCCACAUCAAGGGUGGGUCUUUCCUCCUCAGUCUGCAGCCUACAUGUCAGAUAUCCAUUGAUAUACCCAAAUUGACGUGUCACAGUUAAUGAUCACAAUAACUGGAGAUUGGUUUUUUUUUUAUCCCCUGAAUGCCUUGAGACCCAUACAAGCUGUAUAUAUCAGUACUCUAUAACUUUUGAUUACUAGGUUUUACAGCAUGGUAUAGAUGUUCUGUGAUAUCACAGCUUGUUUUAAUCACUCACUUGUUGAGGACUAUUUCCAUUAUUUUCAUUUUUUGGUUACUAUAACAAUGUUGCUAUGAACAGUCAUACAGGUUUAUAUGAAUGAAAGGUUUUUUACUACACUAAAUUCCAAGAAUGUGGCCGUUGAGAAAUGCAACUAAGUAUAUAUCUAAUUUUUAGGAACUGCCAAUCUUCCACAAUAUGUAUAGCAUUUCAUUUACCUACCAGCAUUCCAUGACAGAUCUCAUUUUUGCAUAUCUUUACCAACAUUUGGUAUUGUCAUUCUUUUUAUAUUAAAUAUUUUUUCUUGUUUAUUUGAGACACAGUCUUACUAUGUAGUUCACGCUGGUCUUGAUUUCAUUGUGUAGCACAAACUGGCCUUCAACUCAAGGCAAUCCUCCUGCCUCAGCCUCCUGAGUACUGGGAAUACAGGCAUGCACCAUCACAGCCAGAAUUACAUGUUCUAAUAAUGUAUAGAAUUGUGGUCCUUAUUUGGACCAUUUUGACAUAUGCUUAUCUGCCACUUGUCUUUCUUAGUGAAAUAUCUCUUCGGGUCUAUUGCCCUUUUUGAAACUGAGCUUUUUGUCAGGGACCAGGCCAAGAUCCAAGCUGCCUACAUGAGGGGUACAGCAAAAGGAUGAAGUAAGGGACAGACAAAGUAAAUCAUGACAGGAGCUGGGAGAUGAAAGCCUCAAGAUGGGCAGAGACAAAGACGCUCUGAGCUGCCAUUGGGUGCACACAUAACAGGUGGGAGUAUUGGAUGACUCAGAGGAAGGCAUGAUCUUAAUGCAGAUGAGCAUCUUAAGGUGGUGAGGAUCAGUUCAGAAGAGGGCAGUGAAAUGUGCAAGGCAUUUUUACAAUAGCAGGUGGGAAAAGGCAGCAGGCAAAUUAGGAGUUCCUCCUUGCCCCCAAGUGAAAACUGUUUUUGUUACUAUUUGGUUCUCAAGGAACCAGGAUGUUUUCAGCUGAUGUAAUCUUGCCCUGGAAUAUCAUAGCAUCACAGAACCAUUUGUCGCAGCUGGGUGGUAGGUCAAGAUAGUGGGCCUCAGAUAAGCCCUAGCCACAAUUUAAUUAUGAAAUUAUUUCUCCCCCAAAAUUAUAUAGAACAGUUUUAGACAGCUUUUUAAUGUUGAGGUUUUUGAUAGCUUGCUUUAUGCAUAUACUAGAUAUAAGCCCAUAGUCAGAUAUGUGGUUUGGAAACAUUUUCUCUAAAUUUCUCGCUGUAUUAUUAGCCUUUCUCAAAGCUUCAUUUUUAAAUUUGAAAAGGUAUCAUUUAUUACUUUUUUCUUUUAUUGUGCUUUUAGUGUUAUAUCUAAGAACUCUACAAAGUCAUAGUUAAAACUAAUUUCUCAUCUGUUGCUUUCUAAAAAUGUUAUAGUCUUGCAUUUUUGUAAUUCUUUCUUUGAGAUAUGAUAUGACUGUGUUACCUUGGUCUCAAUUCCUGGGUUUGAGAUCCUCCUGCUUAAACCUCAAGAGCAAGUGAGAAUAUAGACAUAUACUAUUACACUCAGUUUGCAGUACAUCAGAGUUAACAUUUUUGUAUGUGAGGAAUGAGAACUGCAAUAAAUUUCAUUUUGCUUUUUUUU
This is a long non-coding RNA of Cavia porcellus (domestic guinea pig), 3247 nucleotides long. RefSeq lists it as uncharacterized. NCBI's taxonomy places the organism in Eukaryota, Metazoa, Chordata, Mammalia, Rodentia, Caviidae. The transcript has 3 exons. The record is from RefSeq and is a predicted model, not a curated record.